RNAcentral lists this ribosomal RNA (273 nucleotides) under Triticum aestivum (bread wheat). RNAcentral's name for it is "partial small subunit ribosomal RNA". Lineage: Eukaryota; Viridiplantae; Streptophyta; Magnoliopsida; Poales; Poaceae. The record is from RNAcentral.
AUGUCGUGGUCUUCGGGUCGUUCUCAGGUCGCAGCUUCCGUCGACCUCCGAAGGAGAGGGGACGAAUCGAGGUCGCUGGUGCCCUACCGGGAGAGCCCGAUGGCGUACGAGCCGGAGAAGCUCUGCUGGUGCAGGCCGCGUCGGAAGGCGCCGAGAUGGAUCUUGUGGAGCCGUCAGAACCCAGGCAGGAGGUACUACGCCUGCAUGGAUGCCAUGGUGAGCUUCAUUUUUGUUCUAUUUUUCUGUUCAUUAGUUCUUCUCCCUUCUCAAUGA